GAGGGGGGGUUAAACCAACAAGAACUGCUAACUCUCGUAUCUGAGCCUAAAACCUCAGCCCCCUCA
RNAcentral lists this transfer RNA (66 nucleotides) under Psophia crepitans (common trumpeter). RNAcentral describes it as "tRNA-Ser". Lineage: Eukaryota; Metazoa; Chordata; Aves; Gruiformes; Psophiidae. The record is from RNAcentral.